This 253-nucleotide ribosomal RNA is filed under the name uncultured bacterium. Its description in RNAcentral is "partial 16S ribosomal RNA". It matches the Rfam family "Bacterial small subunit ribosomal RNA", at positions 524 to 776 of the family's 1533-position model. The record is from RNAcentral.
AACGUAGGUGGCGAGCGUUAUCCGGCUUUACUGGGCGUAAAGCGUGUGCAGGCGGGUGGCCAAGUGGUGUAUGAAAGCUCCAGGCUCAACCUGGAGAGGUUAUGCCAGACUGGUCAGCUAGAGGCAGAGAGAGGGACAUGGAAUUCCGGGUGUAGUGGUGAAAUGCGUAGAGAUCCGGAGGAACUCCAGAGGCGAAGGCGGUGUCCUGGCUCUGACCUGACGCUCAGACACGAAAGCAUGGGGAGCGAACGGG